CUGCCCUCUAGCCCGCCCACCCUUCCGUUCAUUGGUUCUUUACGCGGAGACCCUGUGCGCAGGCGCAGCUUGAAGUACAGCUGGGACACCCAUCCCGGAAGAGGAAGAGAAACCAGUGCUUUGUGGAAAAAUGGAGGAUUCAAGGCUGAGGCAGGAUGAGUUUGGACUAUUAUUAUCCUAGAAGGCUACAAGAGUUCUGUCAGAAGGACUCAGGAGCUUAUCUGAAGAGCUUCCUGCUGGCUAAAGAAGGGACAGCAAAAGACUUGAGGGGCAUAACAGCCUGUAAUGGAAACUGAAACUACUCUUUAAGCAGUAUCAACCACCUGGACCAGGAGCUCUGGUAACCCAGACCACCCAGACCAGUUUGACUUUCACCCCGACUCACACCUGUGGAGAUGAACCAUCCAGGACCACGGAGUGACCAACAGUCCCUUACCUCAUUAUAAUACUAAAAUCUCCGCCCAAGGAGGAGCACAGCCUCACUUACAUAACAUAGUUACAGUGUCUGUGUAUUUCCUUGAAGGCACCUGUCCCUGCCUUUACAUAUAAUGACAAGACUCCCCUUUUUAAAUAUUCAUCCUAACCCUAAAUAAAAGGAGGCCAUGCUCUAGGAGUCAGAGCUUGGAGGUCAUUCCCUGUGAUCUCCAAGUAAGUUUACUUUGUGUGACAAUUCCUCCUUGGGUAGUUUCUACGUGUGACUCACCAAGGUCCAAACUCACCGUUUGGUUACAACUUGAUUUUUGUUAAGUUAUGAUACACCUAUAUGAAUCCCUGUUUCACACUUUUUUUCUUUUUGAUAGUGCGUUUUUAAUUAUAAAAAUUAUUCAUGUUCAUGGAAAAUGAGUAUACGCAACACGAUAAAGGGGGGAGCUCUCAGAAUUCUCCUACAGAGGGGUAAAUACUGGAAGUUUGGUGGGAAACUUUCAAUAUUUUUUCUUUGCCUACAUGUGAAUAUAUAAUUGUGUUAAUAUUAGAAUCAUAACAUAUAUACCUUUACUUGCUUAAAUUGUAAAUAUUUUAAUUCAACUUUUUAUUGACUGUCUUAAAGAUGUACUAUAAUUUAUUUUAUUAAUUGGCUAUUCUUUCACAUAUUAUAAAUAUAUACAUACAUUUAAGACUUUUGCCUAUUUUUCUAAAUCACCUUCUUCAAAUUUUCAUCCAUAACUCAUAUAUAAGUAGUAUUAAGAAAUGCCUAUUGCUGCAUACUAUCAUCCUUUAAAGAAUGUAUGCCUUUCUGAUAGAUAAAAAUGACUAUCUUUGGUUGCUAUAAUUUGCUUUCCAUUGAUUAAUAGUAACAUUAGGGGCGCCUGGGUGGCUCAGUGGGUUAGGCCUCUGCCUUCGGCUCAGGUCAUGAUCCCAGGGGCCCAGGAUCGAGUCCCGCAUGGGGCUCUCUGCUCAGCAGGGAGCCUGCUUCUCCUCAUCUCUCUCUCUGUCUCUCUGCCUAUUUGUGAUCUCUCUCUCUGUCAAAUAAAUAAAUAAAAUAAAAUAAAAAAUAGUAACAUUAAGCGUGUUUUCAUUUGUCUCUUUGCAUUUAAAUUUCUUAAUUUUGUAUAUUUCAUGAUUGUGACUUUUCCAUAUGUUUCUAUUCUUCUUUUUUUUAAAAAAGAUUUUAUUUAUUUAUUUGACAGCGAGAGAUCACAAGUAGGCAGAGAGGGAGGCAGAGUGUGUGUGUGGGGGGGGCAGGCUGGAGCUGAGCAGACAGCCUGAUGUGGGGCUUGAUCCCAGGACCCUGGGAUCAUGACCUGAGCUGAAGCCAGAGGCUUUAACCCAGGAGCCCCUAUAUGUUUCAUUCUUUAAAAAUAUUUACCUUAUUGGCUUGUAGGAGGUCUUUAUGUGUUAAGAAAAAUUAAACUUUACACUGAAAAAAUAAAAUUAAGUAAAAAAAUUUAAAAAAGUUAA
This is a long non-coding RNA of Mustela lutreola (European mink), 1899 nucleotides long. RefSeq lists it as uncharacterized. The record is from RefSeq and is a predicted model, not a curated record. Lineage: Eukaryota; Metazoa; Chordata; Mammalia; Carnivora; Mustelidae. The transcript is spliced from 3 exons.